GUGCUUGCUUCAGCAGCACAUAUUCUAAAACUGGGAUAAUACGGAGAAGAUUAGCACGGCUCCUGUGCAAGGAUGACAUGCAAAUUCAUGAAGCAGUCCAUAUUUUU
Psammomys obesus (fat sand rat) is the source of this 107-nucleotide small nuclear RNA. NCBI's taxonomy places the organism in Eukaryota, Metazoa, Chordata, Mammalia, Rodentia, Muridae. The record is from RefSeq and is a predicted model, not a curated record.